Sciurus carolinensis (gray squirrel) is the source of this 1072-nucleotide long non-coding RNA. RefSeq lists it as uncharacterized. The transcript is spliced from 2 exons. The record is from RefSeq and is a predicted model, not a curated record. NCBI's taxonomy places the organism in Eukaryota, Metazoa, Chordata, Mammalia, Rodentia, Sciuridae.
GAAAAACAUAUGAUGGGUUGGCGCACAGAAAUGUCAUAUUCCAAUCACGACAUGAGAAAUGGUUGGAUUGCCUGUCCUACUAGGAGAUUCUCGACUGACAUUUUAUCGUGUUAUUGUGUCCACGCUAUUUAGUUCCUCCUGGAGCCUUCCGAAUUUCACAUGUACUGCUUCAAUCAGCUCCUGCAGAGUGGAUAACUACCUAGGGAUCCAGGCCUUACUGGAGAGCAGCCAAUCAUGAACAGGGGGCAGACUGGCCUUGGGUUCUCCCAUCACCCCUGCCUUUUAAUAAUUUUAAUUGAUUUUUUUUUUUUUUUGCAUUUCAAAGUAUAGGUAUUCAUUAUAGCAAGUUAUUGGAAAAUAAAAAGGCAGUGAGUUUUUCUUAAUAUAUAUCAUUAUCUAAAAUGGAGUUUUUUUUUUUUAAAAGGGGAGGGGUUAUGUAGAAGAACCUUCUUGCUGGAUUUUCUUUUCUUAUCUUUCUAUAAACUGGGAUAUCUUUGUUUUCUAGUACACAUUUUUGUAAUAUUAACCUAUUUGUGUAGAUGUGAAAAAGCAGUUUGAAAACUGUUUUAUAUUUGUAUAAAAUGUGCCUUAAUGGUAUCUUGGGGAAGAAGGCUGGAUGAGAACCUUAGGUUUAAGUAAGGAAGUAUGGGAGGGAUUUGCCUAAGGAGUUUUAAAUUAGAUGUAAAAUUGGGAAUUUAUCCUGUAUAUCAUAAUGGCAUAAAGGUCCAACUACUAUUAAUUUAAAAAGAAAAACGUGAUUCUAGCAGAAUCUUGACUAAAUGAUUUUUAAUUUUAAAGAAUUUUAAAAACUGUUUUAGAAUAACACCACAAAUUGGGACUACUUUUACAGAUGUGCGUACUUAUGUUAAAAUUAAGUUCAGUGUUGGCAGUUAGAUAUUAGAGGGAAGUAAUAAAGGAAAAAAUGUUCUAUUUUAAUUAAAUAUUUAUAAUAUACGGAACUGAAAGUGACUUUAAUAUUAUUUAAAUUAAUGUGGCAAAAUUUCAGUGUAAUAUGGAGAAAAAGACCUAUUUUAUAAACUUGUAAGAAUAAAUACGUAUUUUAAAUGCUGAA